RNAcentral lists this small RNA (3211 nucleotides) under Rattus norvegicus (Norway rat). Its description in RNAcentral is "uncharacterized LOC102546835". The record is from RNAcentral. Lineage: Eukaryota; Metazoa; Chordata; Mammalia; Rodentia; Muridae.
UGCAGGCAAGAAGAUGGAACUGGAAAAUAUCAUCUGAAUGAGGACUGAAGUCAAGGACUGCUGUGGUUGAAUUAAGGAAAGGCUGGAAGAAGCUGAAGAGGUUGGCGACCCCAAAAGAAGACCAGAAGUCUCAACUCUCCCAGACUCCUGAGAUCUCUCAGACAUUGAGUCCCCAACCAGCAGCAUACAAGAACUGGUGGGAGGACCCUGACGCAUAUACAGCAGAGGACUGCCUGGUCUGGCCUCAGUGAGAGAAUCCUUGCCUAACCCUUUAGAGACUUGAGGACCCAGGAAGUGGGGAGACCUGGUCAGUGUCUUCGAGUAACUGUUGGUUGCCUUUGGUGGCCAGAUGAUGGUGUGAGAUCCCCUAAACUGGAUUUACUGACAUUUGUGAGUUGCCAUGUGGGUUCAGGAGAGUCAACCUGGUUUCUCUGGAAGAGGAGAUAGUCCUUUUUAUUACUGAGCCAUACCUCCGUUCCCUCUUUCAAAUUCUGUUUUUAAUUCUUCUCUCAUGUAUUACAGCCCAAAAAAGAGAUUUUUAUCUCUCCUCUCCUCAGGGUCAGUCUUCCCUACCUGUCUACUCCCCCCAAGACCUUUCCUGUAUUAUUGUCAUGUUUGUCUCUAAUGUAGUAUCUUGUUUGUUGAGUUUUGUUAUUUGGUUACACAGUCAUUGCUAAAAGAUUUGUCGUAAGAUUUAAAUUUGUGUUUUGUUUUUCAAACGAUUGUAAAGGAAAUUUAUUGUGUUUCCAAAAUAUUGUCAAUAUUAAAAUAUGAAAACUCUCUAUGUUUAUUUAGUGGUUCAGUGGUAGCUAUCAACACAGCAGAAUCCAAAAUCAGCUUGGAGGCAAGUCCUUCGGACAUCUCUGAGGGGUCAUCUUGUUGUUUGAAGAACCAUCUUAAUUGUAACUAAGAACAUCCCCUGGGUGGAAAAUCCUGUAUUGCAUAAAAUGAUGAAGGCAGGAGAAAUGACUUCAAUUCAACAUGAAAUUAAUCCCCCAGACCAUCAUUAGAGUGCAAAGGUGACCUGAGCAUCUGAGCCUUCAGGAAGACAUGCUUCAUGGAUCUCAAUUUGGAUUUCUGAACAGAGAAACAGGUAUCAUCAAUUACUGGUACUUGUAAUGCACAACAUUGCCAUGAAGAAAACGGAAUUAGCACAGAGCAUGCAGAGUACCUUCCAACUCCAUGAACAUUACAUGUGAAGCUUCAAGUUUGGUAUCUGCACAAUUUCUCAAUGGUUGAUGACAGAACAUCCUGAGAAGAUCACACUGGAGACCACUACUCUGAUCUAAGAUAUAAACUGCAAGUACUUUCCUGAUGAGGAGUAGGACUCUGUGUUUAUACCCUUAACCAAUGCUGUAACUGUGAUCUAUGGCAAGGGAAGAACAAGAUCUCAGGACUGCUUCAUCACCUUACGAAGAUAUUCAAAAAUACAUAAUACUAGAAGAAAUUUUUUUCUUUCAAUCUUAGAAUGUGGAGGGAAUCUUUCUUAAUUAGUGUACAGUUGACAGAGGAUACCUAGGGAGUUUAUUCCCAUGCUGAGAUACCAAUUCCUUACUACUGUCCACAGCAUUCUUAGAUACUUCCUUUUCAAAGUGAUUCUAGCAGAGGCAAAAAGUUCGUAGGUGUUCAUACUGUAAUUAAGAAUUAUUAUGGAAAAAGAAUUUUAUUAUGCAAAAAGUGUUUAUGCAUAGACAGUGGAUAGAAAGGCUCAAUUCUGCAACUCAUGUGUUAUCUUUGACUUUUUAAAAGGAGCUGUUCACUAGAGAGUAGCUGCAAGGAAUGGAAAAUUUGAUGAGCCAAACUGAGGAAGAUUGAUGAAGCAGAGAGCUGACAUCAAUUCACAUUGUGGUGUAAUCAUUUUUCUAUAAACGAUAUAAACUGCAAGUACUUUCCUGAUGAAGAGUAGGACUCUGUGUUUAUACCCUUAACCAAUGCUGUAACUGAGCUGUUCACUAGAGAGAAAUCGCAAGAAAUGGAAAAUUUGAUGCGCCACACUGAGGAAGAUUGAGGAAGCAGAGAGCUGACAUCAAUUCACAUUAUGGUGUAAUCAUUUUUCCAUAAACAAAUAAUGUAAGAAUGGAGAUUUCCUUCAUUUUAAUAUCUACAUGGAUGAGAUUGGUGGCAUUAAGAAAGACAUUGAUGUGGAAACGUAAAGGAUAUUUGUGAUGGAUAUAUGACUAGUUUCUCCUUCAGAACACCAUGGCAGCAACCAAGGUAUCACCAAGAAGCCGUAGAAGCAAUAUGACUACAAAUGUGGUUACUGAGAAACGUAUCUAAUUGUGUUUCAACCCUCAGAGAUACUUCUGAUGUAAGGUAAGAAAUAUAGUAAAAAUAUAUGGGCCUGACAAUUUAAUAUUGGCUUUCAGUAUAGAGGAGAAAACUGUCUCCUGGGCUCUGUGGGAGUUCCAGUUGAGGUGGGCUUUAGGACAAGGAUCUCAUCUGUGUCCCUGGUUACAGGAGACCUGCUGGGAGACAGGCAAGCUAUAGGAUUUAGCAUGGAUCAGACAUGUUGAUCUCAUUUAUUAUGGAGUAAUUAGCUCUGAACAAUGGGUGAAGUAUACACCAGAAAGAGAGAUUGAAAGUAAAAUAGAAGAGACAGCAGAUCAGUUUCAGGCUAACAGCACCUCUCAGCUCACAUGAGGAAUCAAUGAUCUGGCAAUGUUCCAGGGGCAGGGACUGUGUCACACCUUCCCUUAUGCAGACAGGUAAUGUUCAAGGAGCCCAGAUUGAGACUGAGAGCUGAAAAACUGUGGCAAGGCUUUUCUGCUUUUAUAUUGUAGACAGGCACAAAAUGUCAAAUUUGGGAUACUCAGUAGGUACAAAACCAUGGUAAGAACAUGGGUGAAGAUCUAAACACUGUUUAUCCUACAGCUAUCUCGUUUCCAAAAUGUGUCUGAUUUAUAGGAGCUAUAACCCCAACUUGGUACCUUCUCUGAGUUAAAAGCCCACAGACUAGUGAAAAGCUCCAGAGACAUCAACUGAGCAAGUCCUAAGAUGAUAUUUUUUAAAAAUGAAAAAUAUAAAAAAUUAUUUUACAGCUGUGAAGGUCAAAAGUUUAAGAAGACCCAGAUUAUACUAUCAAUAAAUAACAACAUCUACCCCCACAAACCAGGAGCACAUUGGAGUCCUGUAGCAAUUAGUUUAGGUGUCUGAGGCAAUGACCUUUAAAGACAAUUCAGCACUGAAAUUCCUAGAGUUAUAGAAUCUUCCA